GCAUCCUGGGAUGUGGAGUUCAUUGGAGUUAGAUCUGAAUACAGUAUCAGGCAAGAUUCGACCCUUGGUCCUCUGCAUGGGUACCAAGCCCCAGUACAUGUGCCACCAGCUCUACCAACUGAUCUACACAGUUUCAUCAUUCCAUUUUUGAACUGUGUGUAUUCACAGUCUGGAUACAAACCUGCUCUCCUGGUUGUGACAGCGCUGUGGCCGCUCGUACCAUUACUGUAACAGUUACCUUCUGGGAGCUGAUGUGCAGUUAUCUGGCUCCCUACAGAUCUGACCUGCCAGCUUGAUGUUUAG
Molecule: long non-coding RNA, 303 nt
Organism: Eleginops maclovinus (Patagonian blennie)
Lineage: Eukaryota; Metazoa; Chordata; Actinopteri; Perciformes; Eleginopidae
Exons: 3
Source: RefSeq, a predicted model, not a curated record